CCUACGUGAGGCAGCAGUGGGGAAUAUUGGGCAAUGGAGGAAACUCUGACCCAGCAACGCCGCGUGAAUGAUGAAGGUCUUCGGAUUGUAAAGUUCUUUUCUCAGGGAAGACGAAAGUGACGGUACCUUAGGAAUAAGCCUCGGCUAACUACGUGCCAGCAGCCGCGGUAAUACGUAGGAGGCAAGCGUUAUCCGGAUUUAUUGGGUUUAAAGGGUGCGUAGGCGGAUUGUUAAGUCAGCGGUAAAAACCCGGGGCUCAACCCCGGCGAGCCGUUGAAACUGGCUGUCUUGAGAUGUCGAGAGGUAUGCGGAAUGCGCAGUGUAGCGGUGAAAUGCUUAGAUAUUGCGCAGAACUCCGAUUGCGAAGGCAGCAUACCGGCGGCGAUCUGACGCUGAGGCACGAAAGCGUGGGUAUCGAACAGGAUUAGAUACCCUUGUAGUC
RNAcentral lists this ribosomal RNA (442 nucleotides) under uncultured bacterium. Its description in RNAcentral is "partial 16S ribosomal RNA". It matches the Rfam family "Bacterial small subunit ribosomal RNA", at positions 338 to 795 of the family's 1533-position model. The record is from RNAcentral.